GACGAACGCUGGCGGCGCGCUUAACACAUGCAAGUCGAGCGAGAACUAGUCCUUCGGGACUAGGGACAGCGGCGAACGGGUGAGUAACACGUGAGUAAUCCACCCUCGGUACCGGAAUAGCCCGGGGAAACUCGGAUUAAUGCCGGAUGGCCCAUUUGCUCUUCGGAGCUGAAUGGAAAAGAUAGCUUCGGCCUUCGACCGGGGACGAGCUCGCGGCGGAUUAGCUUGUUGGCGGGGUAACGGCCCACCAAGGCGACGAUCCGUAGCUGG
Molecule: ribosomal RNA, 270 nt
Filed under: uncultured bacterium
Lineage: Bacteria
Description: partial 16S ribosomal RNA
Rfam family: Bacterial small subunit ribosomal RNA
Source: RNAcentral